RNAcentral lists this ribosomal RNA (432 nucleotides) under uncultured bacterium. RNAcentral's name for it is "partial 16S ribosomal RNA". It matches the Rfam family "Bacterial small subunit ribosomal RNA", at positions 29 to 507 of the family's 1533-position model. The record is from RNAcentral.
ACGAACGCUGGCGGCAUGCCUAACACAUGCAAGUCGAACGAGACCUUCGGGUCUAGUGGCGCACGGGUGCGUAACGCGUGGGAACCUGCCCUUAGGUUCGGAAUAACUCCCCGAAAGGGGUGAUAAUACCGGAUAAUGUCUUCGGACCAAAGAUUUAUCGCCUUUGGAUGGGCCCGCGUUGGAUUAGCUAGUUGGUAGGGUAAAAGCCUACCAAGGCGACGAUCCAUAGCUGGUCUGAGAGGAUGAUCAGCCACACUGGGACUGAGACACGGCCCAGACUCCUACGGGAGGCAGCAGUGGGGAAUAUUGGACAAUGGGCGAAAGCCUGAUCCAGCAAUGCCGCGUGAGUGAUGAAGGCCUUAGGGUUGUAAAGCUCUUUUACCCGGGAUGAUAAUGACAGUACCGGGAGAAUAAGCUCCGGCUAACUCCGUG